This is a long non-coding RNA of Pistacia vera, 1232 nucleotides long. RefSeq lists it as uncharacterized. The record is from RefSeq and is a predicted model, not a curated record. The transcript is spliced from 3 exons. Lineage: Eukaryota; Viridiplantae; Streptophyta; Magnoliopsida; Sapindales; Anacardiaceae.
AAGCUCAAGUAAAUCCUCUUUUCACACUGGUUGCAUGCUUGAUGUAGGCAAGAGGCCACAAGAUUCAAUGACACGCUUGUGUCGAGGCCAGGUGGUGAGCAUAUCCAGUUUUUGCUUCUGGAUCUGUGGUUUUAUUAGGGCACAACUCCUGGGCUGCUGGCAAAGUUGGAAGUCGAAGGGCAGUUCAUACCGUUGCCCAUAUCAAAUCAUUUGGUGUUUUCAAGCAUUUUUGUGACCCCUGGUACUGAAAGGAAGUUGGAAAACUUAACAAAAAUCUUCAAGGACUGGAAUUCUGACAUGCAUGGCUGCCAAGUGCAAUGGGGUGUAACCUUUUCCAUUGUAUUGUAGAGCAAGGUCUUGGUCAACCCUCAAAAACAAUCUUGUUACCUCCAAGUAUCCUCUGCUACAGGCACAAUGCAUUGGAGAAUGUCUUGUUGGUUUUUUGAGCAAAAUUCAGCCACACCACCAAGCUCCAACAUGUUAUGAACAACUUCUGCAUCAUACGCCACGUUUGUUCCAGAGUAAGAAUGAGAUUUGGUUAUUACUGUGAGCCCCAUUGAUGUAGCAACAUGUAGAGCUGUUAAAUCAUCCUCAUCUUCUUAAAAUUCCAUCAACCAAGAUUGAUUCAUCAUGAGCUUGACCACAUCAAAAUGCCCUUCCAUUUUCAUAGUUAAGCUUUGUAGCUAAUCACGGAUUAGUCUAUAAGAGCAGCAUAACCACAUCUGCUUUCCCUUUGUGACAAGCUUUAUGAAAUGGAUCCUCAAGCUUUUUGUUCACAGAUGCAACUCAAUGAUAUCAUUCUCGAAUUUGAAGCACUUGAACCUUGAGACAAGGUGCAGCACGGUAUUCAACUAAUGAUCAGUUCUUUUGUACCAGAAUUCCUUCGUUGUCUUGAACUAAAUUGUCAAAGGCCCCUCUAUAUCAUUGACUCAUUGUUGGCAAUUUCCUCAAAUGCCUUCAAUCCAUUUCCUUUUUCUUAAUUGCCUCUGUUUUCUGAGGCUUAAAAACUCUCGAAAACCCGGAAAAUUAGUACUAAUUCUGUGAUGUGAAAUGCUGUUGAAGAAGCUAUAUUGUGUAAUUCUCCUGUAUACACUCUUUCUAUCAAUCCAUUGUCCAUUGAUGAGCUAUAAUCCUGUAAUACUUGAUUGAGAUUCAGUUUAUAGUCAACUUUAUACUCUCUUCAAGGAAUGUGGAUGUGAAAGUAUCCACAUCUUUGAUUAUUUGUGGAAUUG